UAGGGAAUCUUCCGCAAUGGACGCAAGUCUGACGGAGCAACGCCGCGUGAGUGAAGAAGGAUUUCGGUUCGUAAAACUCUGUUGUUAGAGAAGAACAGCGCAUAGAGUAACUGUUAUGCGUGUGACGGUAUCUAACCAGAAAGCCACGGCUAACUACGUGCCAGCAGCCGCGGUAAUACGUAGGUGGCAAGCGUUGUCCGGAUUUAUUGGGCGAAAAGCGAGCGCAGGCGGUCAAUUAAGUCUGAUGGGAAAGCCCCCGGCUCAACCGGGGAGGGUCAUUGGAAACUGGUUGACUUGAGUGCAGAAGAGGAGAGUGGAAUUCCAUGUGUAGCGGUGAAAUGCGUAGAUAUAUGGGGGAUCACCAGUGGCGAAGGCGACUCUCUGGUCUGUAACUGACGCUGAGGCUCGAAAGCGUGGGUAGCAAACAGG
RNAcentral lists this ribosomal RNA (429 nucleotides) under Bacteroidota bacterium. Its description in RNAcentral is "Bacteroidetes bacterium partial 16S ribosomal RNA". It matches the Rfam family "Bacterial small subunit ribosomal RNA", at positions 355 to 776 of the family's 1533-position model. Lineage: Bacteria; Pseudomonadati; Bacteroidota. The record is from RNAcentral.